Mya arenaria is the source of this 3366-nucleotide long non-coding RNA. RefSeq lists it as uncharacterized. The transcript is spliced from 7 exons. The record is from RefSeq and is a predicted model, not a curated record. Lineage: Eukaryota; Metazoa; Mollusca; Bivalvia; Myida; Myidae.
GAGACUUAUCUUAUAACUGUUAAAACAUCUUUCAAGUUAUUGUUAUAGUUGAAGUAUAUAUAAGGACACGUUAAAAAGAAAGAGUUCAUAUAGCAUAGGAAAUUUUCAUGUACAUGGUUAUAUUGUUGAUGCUACUGCAGAAUGAUGAUGAUGAUGAUGAUGAUGUUCGUGAUGAUGAUGAUGAUGAUGAUGAUGAUGAUGAUGAUGAUUAGGUAUCACCAUUUUUGAACACUGUUGCGUUGCUCUGCACAAUACAUAGAAAAGCGAGGAUAACUGUGACUGCGCACAGGGUUAACAAUCAUUAACGGAUGGGUACAAAUUUAUUCGAUAAAAAUCAACAUGUAUAAAAAUGGUGGACUGCUACGCUCAUUUCGUGACCCAGAGUAUAUUUAUGUGAAAAUAACGACUCUAACGACAAAUCCAACCCAGUUAAGAUCACUGUCAGGACCAUUUCCUGUAUUGGUGGAGGAGAAAACUGAUGCUCCCUCCUAUUGGGAUACAGAUGCAGAGAACUCGAUAUUCAAAAGCUGGAGCUACAGCUGCGGCAAAUUAAAAUGGAAAUUAUGAUGGCAGUGGCCUACUUGAGUUUCACAAAACUUCCACUGAGAUUGAGACCAGCAUGCAAGACCAAAGGCAAAAAACACAACAAGAUUCACAAUAUGGAAUCAAAAGGAGCUGACAGGGUAGACUGAUUUAUUAAAACACAGAUGAUAACACAGACAGAAAUUUCAACAGCGGUAGUCUUCGAUAUGUUAAAGAUACUGCUGUGGGUGUACAUGGACUUCUGAAGCAUCAGUCUGAUUUACUAGCAGAACUGUGAAUGCAACAUCUCUAGCCAGAAAUAAUUAUCCUGAGCGGCAUGUCUUUCAUGGUACUGAAAACUAACCAUGGAUACUGGAGGCUGAUAGAACCAAGCAUGGACACUGGUAAAACCUACCCUGGAUGUUGAUAGAAACAACCAUGGAUGCUGAUAGAACCUACUGUAGAAGCCGAUAUAACCAACAUUGGACAAUAUCAUAACUUACCAUGGGCAGUGAAAGAAUUGAAGAAUUGACCAAAGGCAGUAAAGUUCAAGCAUAUUCCUCAGGAUCCCCUACAUCUCUACAUAGAGGGACACGCAAACAGCCACAUCAUAUUCCUGAGGACCUUUACAUCUCUACAAGGAGGGACACACAAACAGACACAUCAUAUUCCUGAGGACCUUUACAUAUCUACUAGGAGGGACACAUAAACAGACUCAUCAUAUUCCUGAGGAUCUUUACAUCUCAACAUAAAGGGUCACACAAACAGCCACAUCAUAUUCCUGAGGACCUUUACUUCUCAACAAUGAGGGACACACAAACAGCCACAUCAUAUUCCUGAGGACCUUUACAUCUCAAUAUAGAGGGACACACAAACAGACGCAUCAUAUUCCCGAGGACCUUUACAUCUCUACACGGAGGAACACACAAACAGCCACAUCAUAUUCCUGAGGACCUUUACUUCUCAACCUAAAGGGUCACACAAACAGCCAAAUCAUAUUCCUGAGGACCUUUACAUCUUUACAAGGAGGGACACACAAACAGCCACAUCAUAUUCCUGAGGACCUUUACAUCUCAAAAUAGAGGGACACAGAAACAGCCACAUCAUAUUCCUGAGGAUCUUUACAUCUCUACAAGGAGGGACACACAAACAGCCACAUCGUAUUCCUGAGGACCUUUACAUCUCAACAUAGAGGAACAGAUAAACAGCCACAUCAUAUUCCUGAGGACCUUUACAGGUCAAAAUAGAGGGACACACAAACAGCCACUUCGUAUUCCUGAAGAUCUUUACCUCUCAACGUAGAGGGACACACAAACAGCCACAUCAAAUUCCUGAGGACCUUUACAUCUCAACAUAGAGGGACACACAAACAGCCACAUCAUGUUCCUGGAGACCUUUACAUCUCAAUAUUUAGUGACACACAAACAGCCAUAUCAUAUUCCUGAGGACCUUUCAGCAAAUUGAGUUAUUGUCCUGUGUUACGUUUCUUGAUCAGAACCAUUUUUGAAAACUACAGGAUGUAUUUCAACUACUGUCUACACACCACAGUUAAGCACAAUGAGAAUAAGUAGAGUGUACAAGAAACUGUUAAAGCUACUAACAGAUCGUUUGCCCUUUGUAACUUUUUCAUAAACAACUGGCUCCGAUUUCUCGAAACUACUUAAGCUUUACAGGCUUAAGUAGCUUAUUUCAAAAUGCCAAAAUAUAUACUUAACUAGAUUUUGAUAAAUCAUAAAAACCUCUUCUGAUAAUCAUGAUGAUAAUUCCUUUCUCAAGUAUAAAAUAUCUUAAAGAAGUAAACAUUACGCAAUUUAUUGUAAUCCAAAAAUAGUGAGCUUAGCUUAAUCCUGUUUAAAGGGACUUCAAAAGAUUCGAGAAUUCGGGGCCAGAGCAUUUCUUUAACAUUUCUAGAUCAAAUUCAGUGGAGCUUCAUUCAAUGAUAGAAUUGAAUGAGAGUAAGUAUAUUAUAUAAGAACUAUCAGUCAAGUUAAGCUUUUCGCAGUUAUUGCCAUGUAUGACAUUUUUCCUUGUCCAUAACUUAAAAAUACUUGUUAGAACUUACAUACAAUUGUAAAGCACAGUGAUGGUUAGAACUUAAUUAAACUACAUACAAUUGUAAAGCACAGUGAUAGGAAGUAAAGUAUACAUAACACUAUUAUACCUUAUAAAGAUGGCAUUAUUCCCCUGUCCGGAACAUAACUACUUGAUGAAACUUUAUGAAACAUUUUUUAAAGCACAAUGAGCGGAAAUGCACUGUAUGAAAAGCAUAACUCUAUUUCAGCUCAGUGCAGAGCUACUGCCCUUUGUCACUUUUUUUGUUCGGAAAACUUAAAUACUACUCGAUGGAAUUUAAUUAACAACUCUGUUUUAGGGAAUAUUAGAAUAAUAAUGAAUGCUACACUUGUUUCCCUAGCGCCGGUUGGUGACUCAGUUUGUUGAAGGAUUUGCAUAAUAGCAACAAUGCAUUCAAGAUCUAAGCAAGUAUAUCAUGUAUUGAUUGAAAAAAAAUAUAUGUGUUCCCAACAUUAUUUAAUAAUUAUUAAUGAUUCUGUUUGAUUAUACGUAUAGGAAAACAAAGCAAAUUAUGGACCUUUUUCUUUUGACAUGGACAUUCUGAUUAAGGUUUUGCAUGUAAGCACAUAUAUCAGCCAUUAGUUGAUGCAUUGAUUGUAUUUCGACUUUAUACAAUGAUACUCAACCGUUCAUCCCAAUCAAAUAACCAAGUUUAUUUGUGACAUUUGUACUUAACUAUCCAACCUCUGAUUAGGCCAAUUUUAUAGUUCUUUUGGGUUGAUUAUGGCUUGUACGUCAAAACAAAUUGUUUAAGUUGUGCAUGUAAGAAAA